Long non-coding RNA from Xenopus laevis (African clawed frog), 748 nucleotides. RefSeq lists it as uncharacterized. The record is from RefSeq and is a predicted model, not a curated record. The transcript has 4 exons. NCBI's taxonomy places the organism in Eukaryota, Metazoa, Chordata, Amphibia, Anura, Pipidae.
CCCCUUUAGGAAGUGGCUUCUCUGAGAGCUGUAGAAGUUACAUAAACUCAGGGCCGGACUGGCGCAUUGGGGACCCACUGGAACUGCAAGCAAAGGGCCCUCCAUGCAGUCACUGGGGACUCCCUCCUGACCGCCAAUCUCCCUGACCCAAAAGACUCUCUGCGCGCCAGCGCAAACGAUGCUAGGUGCACAUGCAUGAACAUGCUGAAGCUGUGCGCAUGCGCGGAAACGCUGAAGACGCAUUGCAUGGAUGCGCUGGAGCCUACGGGCCAGCUGAUUAAUGAGCACGUCUGGGUCAGCGGGGGUCCAUGAGAGCCGGGGCCCACCCGGUUUUCUCCCGGUAUUCCAUCGGCCCAGUCCGACCCUGCAUAAAUUGUGCCUUGAAUUUACUUCAACAUAGAUGAAUAAAGUAUAUGCACUGAUGGGAAUAUUGAAGAUUUUAAAGCACAAUCUAUGUUGAUUUAUGGAUACACGGAUAUUAAUGUUUUUUCGGAAGUUUUAUAGCACAAUAAUGUUUCUAAGAAUUUUUUAAAAAAAAAAAUUCGUUUUGUACAUAUGAUGUUAAAAAAUGUUUUCCUUUUUUUAAUAUAUAUGAUGUUAAUUCAAUUGAUGGCACGCCCCUUUGGCUAAUUGUUCACCUGAUGGGAGGGCUUUUAUAGCCUUGUUUGUUCUGUGUUAGUUACACUUGAGAAAGGGUAUAUAAUAACCCGAAACAUGUCGUGUAGUAGCUUUUAAUAAACACAACCAC